GAUGAACGCUGGCGGCGUGCUUAACACAUGCAAGUCGAACGAUGAAGCCCAGCUUGCUGGGUGGAUUAGUGGCGAACGGGUGAGUAACACGUGAGUAACCUGCCCUUAACUCUGGGAUAAGCCUGGGAAACUGGGUCUAAUACCGGAUAGGGGCGUCCACCGCAUGGGGGGUGUUGGAAAGAUUUGUCGGUUUUGGAUGGACUCGCGGCCUAUCAGCUUGUUGGUGGGGUAAUGGCUCACCAAGGCGACGACGGGUAGCCGGCCUGAGAGGGUGACCGGCCACACUGGGACUGAGACACGGCCCAGACUCCUACGGGAGGCAGCAGUGGGGAAUAUUGCACAAUGGGCGCAAGCCUGAUGCAGCGACGCCGCGUGAGGGAUGACGGCCUUCGGGUUGUAAACCGCUUUCAGUAGGGAAGAAGCGAAAGUGACGGUACCUGCAGAAGAAGCACCGGCUAACUACGUG
RNAcentral lists this ribosomal RNA (466 nucleotides) under uncultured bacterium. RNAcentral's name for it is "partial 16S ribosomal RNA". It matches the Rfam family "Bacterial small subunit ribosomal RNA", at positions 28 to 507 of the family's 1533-position model. The record is from RNAcentral.